GUACUAGAUCUGCUCCUGCUUGGAAUGAAUGUGGAGGGCAAAUGGAAAGCCAUGAACUCCAGUGUCUCUUCUAAGAAUGAAGAUCUUCGUAGUGAAUGGGACAUGUCAUCUGAUUCGAACAGAACUUCAAAGCAUUCGGUUCGUGGCUUUGUAGUGGUGGACGAGUCUGACCUUCUCACGUCUCCCGCUGUCAGCACACAUAGCAGGUAUAAGGACACCGGUGAAAAAAAGAUCCAGUCCACCACCUUCAAAUCAUCAGAGGAGAACUUCACCUCUCAAAAACUGAAAGCAGAUUUGGGUGGAGGCCGUCUUGAGCGGCUCCCUUUGAAGCCCUCUGGGGACAUUGCUGACCUGGAUUCUAUUUUGAAUGUGAAGACAUCAGCUGGUCAGAAGGAUCUGGUCAGGCCUACAGUCUAUCCUGAGUUAAACCAGCUGAUUGAAGAAGGUUUCUUACUUCCUUCAAAGGGCUUCAAAGUAGAUAAAAAGCAUUUGGUCAGUGUUCACUCAAAAAAAGGAUAUGAAUCGCUUGUAGGCAAAGGACAAGCUGACUACAAGCACUCAAGCAAGAAAAAAGUUGCAUUUAAACAUGGUGAUGUUAUGUUAGGCAUGGA
Molecule: long non-coding RNA, 611 nt
Filed under: Sinocyclocheilus grahami
Lineage: Eukaryota; Metazoa; Chordata; Actinopteri; Cypriniformes; Cyprinidae
Description: lncRNA (ENSSGRG00000012430.1)
Source: RNAcentral